Molecule: ribosomal RNA, 449 nt
Filed under: uncultured bacterium
Lineage: Bacteria
Description: partial 16S ribosomal RNA
Rfam family: Bacterial small subunit ribosomal RNA
Source: RNAcentral
AAUGAACGCUGGCGGCAGGCCUAACACAUGCAAGUCGAACGGAUCCUUCGGGAUUAGUGGCGGACGGGUGAGUAACGCGUGGGAACGUGCCCUUUGGUUCGGAGUAGCCUCGGGAAACUGGGAGUAAUACCGGAUAAGCCCUUCGGGGGAAAGAUUUAUCGCCAAAGGAUCGGCCCGCGUUGGAUUAGGUAGUUGGUGGGGUAAUGGCCUACCAAGCCGACGACCCAUAGCUGGUUUGAGAGGAUGAUCAGCCACACUGGGACUGAGACACGGCCCAGACUCCUACGGGAGGCAGCAGUGGGGAAUCUUAGACAAUGGGGGAAACCCUGAUCUAGCCAUGCCGCGUGAUCGAUGAAGGCCUUAGGGUUGUAAAGAUCUUUCAGUUGGGAAGAUAAUGACGGUACCAACAGAAGAAGCCCCGGCUAACUCCGUGCCAGCCGCCGCCGUAA